This 290-nucleotide long non-coding RNA is filed under the name Olea europaea (common olive). Its description in RNAcentral is "long non-coding RNA (OEUR_LNC004243)". The record is from RNAcentral. Lineage: Eukaryota; Viridiplantae; Streptophyta; Magnoliopsida; Lamiales; Oleaceae.
AUCAUAAGGAGGAACAAUCAGGCAGUGACUCAAUGGCUAAUUCAGUGGAAGAAUUUUAACAAGGAAGACGCAACGUGGGAAGACGCGACUAGAAUUCAAGAACGCUAUCCACUCUUUCAACCUUGGGGACAAGGUCAUUUCGAGGGGGGGUAUGUGUCAAACCAAGAAAAUGAGAUUGCUGUUAGAAUAGAAGCGUCUACCCGAGCCAAUAUGCUGUGAAUAAUGUUCCAAAUUAUCCAUUGAAUUUCAGAAUUUUUUCUCAUUCAUCAUUUUAUGCCAUUGCACUCCAU